GCAACGCGCAGAACCUUACCAACCCUUGACAUCCCUAUCGCGGUUACCAGAGAUGGUUUCCUUCAGCUCGGCUGGAUAGGUGACAGGUGCUGCAUGGCUGUCGUCAGCUCGUGUCGUGAGAUGUUCGGUUAAGUCCGGCAACGAGCGCAACCCACAUCCUUAGUUGCCAGCAGUUCGGCUGGGCACUCUAGGGAAACUGCCCGUGAUAAGCGGGAGGAAGGUGUGGAUGACGUCAAGUCCUCAUGGCCCUUACGGGUUGGGCUACACACGUGCUACAAUGGCAUCUACAGUGGGCAGCUAUCACGCGAGUGUGAGCUAAUCUCCAAAAGAUGUCUCAGUUCGGAUUGUUCUCUGCAACUCGAGAGCAUGAAGGCGGAAUCGCUAGUAAUCGCGGAUCAGCAUGCCGCGGUGAAUACGUUCCCAGGCCUUGUACACACCGCCCGUCACACCAUGGGAGUGGGUUGCAAAAGAAGUGGGUAGCAUAACCUUCGGGAGUGCGCUCACCACUUUGUGAUUCAUGACUGGGGUGAAGUCGUAACAAGGUAGCCGUAUCGGAAGGUGCGGCUGGAUCACCUCCUU
Molecule: ribosomal RNA, 579 nt
Filed under: Pteridomonas danica
Lineage: Eukaryota; Dictyochophyceae; Pedinellales
Description: partial Bacterial small subunit ribosomal RNA
Rfam family: Bacterial small subunit ribosomal RNA
Source: RNAcentral